Pygocentrus nattereri (red-bellied piranha) is the source of this 175-nucleotide long non-coding RNA. NCBI's taxonomy places the organism in Eukaryota, Metazoa, Chordata, Actinopteri, Characiformes, Serrasalmidae. The record is from Ensembl.
UUUUUUUUCAAAGUGAGUGAGACAGAAAGAGAGACAGAGUGGAAACAAGUGAGAAAGUAUUGAGAGACUACAAACAUUUACUUUUGAGUUUUGCUGCUCAAGAAUGGAAAGAAGAGAAACUAUUGGCUGAUUUUUGCAAUCUGCAACAGUUUCAGAGGAUCUUCUCCAUGAGCUU